UCAGUAAUAACUUUGUGAUUAAUGCGUC
This 28-nucleotide small RNA is filed under the name Bombyx mori (domestic silkworm). RNAcentral describes it as "ovarian small RNA-25748". The record is from RNAcentral. Lineage: Eukaryota; Metazoa; Arthropoda; Insecta; Lepidoptera; Bombycidae.